UUUCCGUAGGUGAACCUGCGGAAGGAUCAUUAAUAAUAUGUGAUUUAUGGCACUUUUUUAAACCCACAUCCACCUUGUGCGCCAUGUCAGGGCUGAUCUUUCUCUCGAGGGCAGCCGCCCCAACGAUCAACUAUCUCUGAACUCUUAGUCUGUAACAUAUUAUGAACAAAACAAUUCAAAAUAAAACUUUAAACAACGGAUCUCUUGGCUCCUCCAUCGAUGAAGAACCCGGCCGAUCGGAAGAGCGCACGACUCAACUCCACGCACGCACAGUCAUCU
This 279-nucleotide unclassified non-coding RNA is filed under the name plant metagenome. RNAcentral describes it as "partial contains small subunit ribosomal RNA, internal transcribed spacer 1, and 5.8S ribosomal RNA". The record is from RNAcentral.